CCGGGCGGGCGCACAAAGGCGGGGCCGUUCCGGGCCGUUCCGUUCCGUUCGGGUCCGCGUCGAGCCGGGCCGGGCCGGGCCGGGGGUCUCAGGAUGCCGCUGUCGGCGCUGCGGGGCUGGGCGCUGGCCGUGCUGGCGGCCCUGGCCCCGGCGGAGCGCAGCCGGCCGUACGCCGUGCUGCAGAAGCAGAACCUGGUGCUGCUGGGCAGCAUCCUCAGCGCGCUGCUGCUCACCAUCGUCCUCGUGGCCGUCUGCGUCUACAAGCCCGUCCGCAGGCGGUAGCGGCCACGGCGUCGUGUGUGCGGCCCCGCCUGGCUCCGGGAUUCACGCCCUCGGCUUCAGCACAAGCGGUGGAACCAGUGGUGGAGCGCCCGCGUCUCCAGAGGGUGUCCGGCGAGGGAUGGGUGCCCCGUGCCACUGUCACCGGGCUCCCCGUGCCCGCUGCGGUCACUGCCCUGGGGGGCACCGCUCGGCACAGCUGCCCGGCCAUCGGCUCACACCGCAUCAGGUCUUUUUGUCCGGUGAACUCGGCUCCUUGCUCGAAGGCUGCUCUGGAAGGGCCUCGGUGCCUUCCAGAAGGCUCGAGGACCAAAGCCGAGCGAGCGCCGGUGGCUGCGUGGGGUGGGAACGCGCUCACCCCCGGGCAGCAGCACUGAGACACGGGCAGAGGCCGGCCCGGCUGAUCACACCAGGCCUGUCCUAGCCACGAGCAGCCCUGCAGCAGCUGGGGUGAGCCCACGGCUCCACAGCCCUCGCCCCCCGUGGGAGAUGCACUCCUGGGUGGGUGCUGGCUGGUGGAUGGGGAGCCCCCGGUGUCCGCAGCGAGUGGGGCUGGAGCAUGAGGCUGCUGGGCUCCAGCCCUCUGGAAGCACUUCGUGCUUAGGCUGCACGGAUCCGUUCUAUGCAUUUCUGGCAACAAAUUCAAGUGUUUACACUGAAAUCACACUUGCGUAUGGAUGCUGCUAUUUUGUUUUGCACUGCUAUGAGUAGUAACUGGAUUUUGCUUAUGAAGUAUUACUUUGAUAUUUAACGUAGGGGGUUUGGGCUAGUAAUUUAUUUCAGUAUUUUAAAACUUUACUUCCAGAGCAAAUGUGUGACCAACUCUCUAAAACCUUGCGCAGCAUCUGAUGUUUUCUGCUGUUAGUCUCACUGGCUCCUCUUGGAACUGGGGAUUUUCUUUGCUGCUGUUACGUUACUAAAUGAGGCCAGCCUAGGCCAGAUCUCAUUUCUAAUCAAAGUGAAACAUGAGUGAGGGAGCAAGCUAACUAAUAUUUCUUUCUGAUCUUUUGCUUUCUUGGUUGCAGAGUCCUUUAUCACUGUUGUUUUUCCCCUCAGUCCUUCAGUUGUGGUAGAGCUCUGCCUGUAGUCAUGUGCUGUUCACGGGUGGAGGAGAAUGGAGCUGCAACUCCUCUUCUCUGGAGCAGUGUUCCUGUUUGCAUUCAUUCAUCGCUCCCUGCUAUGUCUCUCUGUACAAAUAAAAAGCUAAGUAAACAGUC
Long non-coding RNA from Oxyura jamaicensis (ruddy duck), 1496 nucleotides. RefSeq lists it as uncharacterized. The record is from RefSeq and is a predicted model, not a curated record. The transcript has 2 exons. Lineage: Eukaryota; Metazoa; Chordata; Aves; Anseriformes; Anatidae.